This 274-nucleotide ribosomal RNA is filed under the name uncultured bacterium. Its description in RNAcentral is "partial 16S ribosomal RNA". It matches the Rfam family "Bacterial small subunit ribosomal RNA", at positions 523 to 796 of the family's 1533-position model. The record is from RNAcentral.
AUACGUAGGGUGCGAGCGUUAAUCGGAAUUACUGGGCGUAAAGCGUGCGCAGGUGGUUUUGUAAGUCAGAUGUGAAAUCCCCGGGCUUAACCUGGGAACUGCGUUUGAAACUGCAAGGCUAGAGUGUGGCAGAGGGGGGUGGAAUUCCGCGUGUAGCAGUGAAAUGCGUAGAUAUGUGGAGGAACACCGAUGGCGAAGGCAGCCCCCUGGGUCAACACUGACGCUCAGGCACGAAAGCAUGGGGAGCAAACAGGAUUAGAUACCCCGGUAGUCC